This 74-nucleotide small RNA is filed under the name Chlorarachnion reptans. RNAcentral's name for it is "partial transfer-messenger RNA". The record is from RNAcentral. Lineage: Eukaryota; Cercozoa; Chlorarachniophyceae.
GUAAAAUCCUAUAAUAAAAAAUAAAUGCAAAACACAAUCAUGAGCAAUUGGCCACAUGCAGGCUACGGCUAUUC